UACGUAGGCAGCAAGCGUUGUUUCGGAGUUACUGGGCGUAAAGGGUGUGUAGGCGGUUGUUUAAGUUUGGUGUGAAAUCUCCCGCUCAACUGGGAGGGUGCGCCGAAUAUGAAUACUAGAGUGCGGGAGAGGAAAGUGGAAUUCCUGGUGUAGCGGUGAAAUGCGUAGAUAUCAGGAGGAACACCGGUGGUGUAGACGGCUUUCUGGACCGUAACUGACGCUGAAACACGAAAAGCGUGGGUAGCAAACAGG
Molecule: ribosomal RNA, 252 nt
Filed under: uncultured bacterium
Lineage: Bacteria
Description: partial 16S ribosomal RNA
Rfam family: Bacterial small subunit ribosomal RNA
Source: RNAcentral